Long non-coding RNA from Lemur catta (Ring-tailed lemur), 852 nucleotides. RefSeq lists it as uncharacterized. The transcript is spliced from 3 exons. The record is from RefSeq and is a predicted model, not a curated record. Lineage: Eukaryota; Metazoa; Chordata; Mammalia; Primates; Lemuridae.
CUGCAUCGGAGAGUUCUAAACUGCUUUAGGUGUAAACUCACUGCAUCCUUACAGCUACCUUAUGAAGUAAGCACGGUUAUCCAGAUCAACAGAUGAGAAAACUGCCGCACAGAAUUAUAGAGUCAUUCACCCACGUCACAGAGACAGGACGUAAUAAAUUGGGGAUGGCAACCAGGGCCUUAGUGUCCUUGUUGGACUCUGGUGAUGGUGUGGGAGGAUUGGAUCCGCAGGCAUAGCCGAUGUCCACAGUGGGACGGCAUCUUCGGUAUUAGCCUGCCCCCCCUGGACACAAAUCUUACAGUCCUGAAGGUCAGAAGUCUGAAACAGGUUUUACAGAGCAAAAUCAAGGUGUUGGCGGAGCUAUGGAGGAAAAUCUGCUCCCUGCUUUUUCCAGCUUCUGGGUGCUGGCUGGAUUCACACUCAUGUCACUCUGAUUCAUACUUUUGUUUUUACAUCUCCUCUGACUCCUUUGCCUUCAUCCUUUCAUGGUAAGACCACAUAAUUAUACUGGGCCCACAUGGAUAAUCCAUGCUAUUUUCCUGUCCUUGGGCUCGCCACAAGAUUUGAUGUACUUUAAUUUGCCUUUUCAUGUAUUAGCUGCUGGUCAACAGUGGAUAGCUGUCUUCCCCCAUGCUCGCCUCUCUCUCCUGCUGCUUCCUGCCUGGUACUAUUUCCAGAUUCUACCUGAGUGUGAACACAUUUUUAUGUCCUUUCUUUCUCACCUGCUUUAUUGGGUCCAUUAAUUAUUCACUGUUCAUGUCUGCUGGUGGCACUCCUUCUAGUUUUAAAAUGGUGAAAUAAAUUAAAUUUUAUUUUUAUAUGUAUCCAUUUAUUCCAAUAGAACUUUGAGAG